AGUCGAGCGAACGGACGAGAAGCUUGCUUCUCUGAUGUUAGCGGCGGACGGGUGAGUAACACGUGGAUAACCUACCUAUAAGACUGGGAUAACUUCGGGAAACCGGAGCUAAUACCGGAUAAUAUUUUGAACCGCAUGGUUCAAAAGUGAAAGACGGUCUUGCUGUCACUUAUAGAUGGAUCCGCGCUGCAUUAGCUAGUUGGUAAGGUAACGGCUUACCAAGGCAACGAUGCAUAGCCGACCUGAGAGGGUGAUCGGCCACACUGGAACUGAGACACGGUCCAGACUCCUACGGGAGGCAGCAGUAGGGAAUCUUCCGCAAUGGGCGAAAGCCUGACGGAGCAACGCCGCGUGAGUGAUGAAGGUCUUCGGAUCGUAAAACUCUGUUAUUAGGGAAGAACAUAUGUGUAAGUAACUGUGCACAUCUUGACGGUACCUAAUCAGAAAGCCACGGCUAACUACGUGCCAGCAGCCGCGGUAAUACGUAGGUGGCAAGCGUUAUCCGGAAUUAUUGGGCGUAAAGCGCGCGUAGGCGGUUUUUUAAGUCUGAUGUGAAAGCCCACGGCUCAACCGUGGAGGGUCAUUGGAAACUGGAAAACUUGAGUGCAGAAGAGGAAAGUGGAAUUCCAUGUGUAGCGGUGAAAUGCGCAGAGAUAUGGAGGAACACCAGUGGCGAAGG
Molecule: ribosomal RNA, 679 nt
Filed under: uncultured Staphylococcus sp.
Lineage: Bacteria; Bacillati; Bacillota; Bacilli; Caryophanales; Staphylococcaceae
Description: bacterial SSU rRNA
Rfam family: Bacterial small subunit ribosomal RNA
Source: RNAcentral